This 246-nucleotide ribosomal RNA is filed under the name uncultured bacterium. RNAcentral describes it as "partial 16S ribosomal RNA". It matches the Rfam family "Bacterial small subunit ribosomal RNA", at positions 90 to 339 of the family's 1533-position model. The record is from RNAcentral.
CGGUAGUGGCGGACGGGUGAGUAACGCGUAGGUAUCUGUCCAUGGGUGGGGGAUAACGCAGCGAAAGCUGUGCUAAUACCGCAUACGAUCUACGGAUGAAAGCGGGGGAUCGCAAGACCUCGCGCGAUUGGAGCGGCCGAUAUCAGAUUAGGUUGUUGGUGAGGUAAAAGCUCACCAAGCCGACGAUCUGUAGCUGGUCUGAGAGGACGACCAGCCACACUGGAACUGAGACACGGCCCAGACUCC